GGUUAACUUGCCAAAACCCCCAGAAAUGCCUCUGGCUCUUGAUCAAUGGCAACUGGAGGGAGGAUGGUCAGCACUCUCAAUACAAGAAAAGCAAUGGUUUUCUUUACCAAUGGAGUAGGCACAGGGGAUAAAGUGACUAGACAAUGGACACCACAGCCUAUUACCCUUAUACAAAUACUACAAUUUCCAUUAAGGCGGUAGACAAAAAUGCCCAAUGGACCACGCUGUAUUCAGUAGUCUGAGAAAUAGAGAAUGCCUUUGACAAACAUUUUUCUAAGGUUCAUAUUUUCACUGACUCCUAGUCAGUGGGCUGACUACUUCAUCAAAACUUUAACAAACUCAGGGCUGGAAAAUAGAAGGCUGAGACAUUUGGAAUAAGUCAACAUGGAGAAAAUGAUCAUAUUAGCCCUCAUUCUUCCCAUCUUAGUACACCAUACCUCAGGUUUCACCAAACAAAACAUGGAGGAGGCACAGAACAACACCAAUGCUGACUAAAUAAACCACCAAAGAGGUUUAAGCCUCUUGAAAGAGCGGGAGAUCCCAAAACUUUGGGAUGAGCCACCCUACUUUAUUAUCAAUGGACACAUUAGAAGUAGGGGCAUUUGGGCAUCAUUGGGUUGUAAAAAUUGAUUGUUCAUAGAGGAAUCAACCUGGCAGAGAGACAUUUGCAUAAAGCCAUUAGGGACUCUAUCACAUGCCAGAAAUCUAGACACUUAGAUGUGCUGCAUAGGAGGAGAAAUUUAGAGAAGGGCCACAUCAGAACUGUCAAAUCAACUUCACUGGGCCUCUCUCUGAAGAAGCAGAACCUAUUAAACCUUAACUAUGGUAGAUACAUACACAGACUUACUAUUGGCUUACCUAUGUAAGGCAUCAACCUAUGCUAAUAUAAAGACUCCCAAUUCUCUGCAAAGCAAGCACAACAUGGGCCUUAAAAAAGAACAUCACUUGGAUAUUUUUACCUAGUCUAUGAUCCUAUACUAGCCAGUAUCAAGAAUGACAUAAUAGGCUUUAAAACAAGGGCAACUGAGAGAACUUGCAGGACAAUAGCAUCCCAAAAGGUCAAAAAUGCUGCCCACAGUCAUGGUUAAGUUAAAGCCAUGCCCCAAUGUCACAACUAUACCAUAUUUAAAUUCACAACAAAUAAGGAGAUCCCCACCAAAAGAGAUGCUGCACCCUCUGUUGGUAUAUGUACCCACACUGGACACAACAUGAUUACCCCUUUUAAUGUAAAUGGGAGCCCUGACAUAACAACCCUCAGCAAAGAAAUAUCUACCUAGUACCUUCAACUUCUCCUUCUACCUUAUAGAAAAUCCAGAGCUUGUCCAUUUCUUCAUCAAUCUUGACAAGGACCUGGCAUGGACCACUAACUCUAAGUCUAUUCUAAGUCUGCAUCUGCUUGUCAUCCAGCAUAAUCUAAGCAAAUCACCCACAUUAUCUGAAGAGAGAACAGUCUUCAAUUUCCACCCAUGUACUUUGCUCCAUUAAAGGCUCUGUGGAACAAGCCUUGACCUGCUCCUGCCACCCAGCAGGUGGAACUAAUCACCCCUGGACUGCGUAUCACAAUUUAGGUGAUCCCUAGGGUAAAAUCAGAUCCCCUCGAG
Molecule: long non-coding RNA, 1601 nt
Organism: Equus caballus (horse)
Lineage: Eukaryota; Metazoa; Chordata; Mammalia; Perissodactyla; Equidae
Source: Ensembl